Molecule: long non-coding RNA, 922 nt
Organism: Mesocricetus auratus (golden hamster)
Lineage: Eukaryota; Metazoa; Chordata; Mammalia; Rodentia; Cricetidae
Exons: 3
Source: RefSeq, a predicted model, not a curated record
UGUUCACAGGUGUGUGACAGAGGCAAUGGAAGCCUUCUAGCUUCAGUUGCUCAGUUUCUUUACCUUGGUGAAUGAAGUUACAACAAAUCAUUUGGGAAAGAGCAUAUCCUUCCAAACUGUCCCGCAAUAGACAUUCCCCAGAGCCUCAUCGGGAAACACUCACCUUGCACGGUUAGGUGAACCUGCAUCGUCCUCGGCGUGUGUUGGGUCUGCACAGAGCAGGUGUAGGGGCCAUCGUCUGUCACAUCAACAUUCUGUAUCUGGAGGCUGUAGUCUCUUUUAUUCAGUGUGGAAAUGGAAACUCGAGGAUCCACUGACCACUUGUCACCUCCAGCAAAAAUGAUACUUGACCUGUUGAGCCAGGCACCCUUUGAAGCUCCAUCCUCCAGAUAACACCUAAAUGGGAAUAGCCACAGAUCAUCUGAUGUAGCAUGCUCUAUUCAGGAAAUCUUAAGCUAGGGAUGCUCAUCCAUCCCGGAUGCACAGUGUAAUUCUCUCUGUGAGAUUUAAAUUUAUUGUGCAUGUAUAUGCCUGUGCUUCAGGUCAGAGCCGAACUCUCGUCCCGCUCUCUCUGUUUACACAAUGCUUACUAAAUAUAAACAAAGUCCACACAAUACUCUUCUACACGAGAUGAAGUUUCUUUGGCCUGUAGGAGUAGAGGAGGUCUGAGUGAGACACCUUUGAGCCGGUCUAACGCUGGGUAAAAUGCACCAGCUAUAGAAAGCAUAAGAGCACCACGAAGCUGAUAACCCUAAGAAAAUCUGCUCAGGAUCAAGCUUUUCAAAAUCUACUACGAACUUAAGUUUAUAAGAUAUAAGCUCCUUGUACCGAACAGCUGCUGUCAUCAAUGUAUGACUGAUACUAGAUUUCACUGACAAAACUGUGUUGGUUUUUUUCCCAAUAAGGUGUUGACUAGGUUUUU